Molecule: long non-coding RNA, 463 nt
Organism: Mesocricetus auratus (golden hamster)
Lineage: Eukaryota; Metazoa; Chordata; Mammalia; Rodentia; Cricetidae
Exons: 3
Source: RefSeq, a predicted model, not a curated record
CUCAACUCAUGGCUGAUGGAGGCAGUGACAGACAUCCAAUGCAGGGAACCGAAUGGAACUCCUGGAACCCAGUUGCAUGAUGGCGAAACUGAGAAAUGCAGAACUCUCAACUCAUGGCUGAUGGAGGCAGUGACAGACAUCCAAUGCAGGGAACCGAAUGGAACUCCUGGAACCCAGUUGCAUGAUGGCGAAACUGAGAAAUGCAGGCUCGACCAUCACCCUCUGCCCAACUUGUGAUCCAGGUGGCUGUAUUAAGAAAGAUUCAACUGAAAUCAUUGGCUUGGAUUCCCCAUCCUCUCCGAUCCUCAAGUACCCUUACGUACCAGAUUUCAGUUGGCUUAAGAAUUUCAAGCCACAAAAGGGAUUACAGUUUUUUCCUCCUGAAUUUGUAGGUUACAUGCCCAAAUUAAAGAACACAAUUGCUUUGGUAUUCCAGUUGCGUAAUUGCCCAUUAAAUAAAGCA